UCGCUGGAGGAAGAGCUCCCGUAGGAUUAGGUUGUUGGUGUGGUAACGGCUCACCAAGCCAAUGAUCCUUAGCCGCCCUGAGAGGGGGGCCGGCCACGGUGGAACUGAGACACGGUCCACACGCCUCGGCGGCAGCAGUGGAUAAGAUUCGACAAUGAGCGAAAGCUUGAUCGAGCCACACCACGUGAGUGAAGAAGGCCGACGCAGUCGUAAAGCUCUAAAGCUCAGUCACCACGACUGGGCGAUAAGUACCGGCUAACUCUGUGCCAGCAGCCGCGGUAAGACAGGGGGUGCAAGCGUUACCCAGUUUUACUAUGGCGUAAAGGGCACGCAGGCGGUAGACAUAAGGUAUUGCUCUCUGCCACGGCUUACCCAUGGCGCAGCGGUUCUCUUGGUCUGCUUGAGUUUGACGGAGGAGAGUGGAAUUUCUAGUGUAGAGGUAAAAUUCGUAGAUACUAGAAGGAACAUCAAAAGCGAAGGCAGCUCUCUUGAUCAAUACUGACGCUGAGGUGCGGAAGCGUGGGUAGCAAAAGGGAUUAGAUACCCCUGUAGUCCACGCCGUCAACGAUGAGUGUUAGGUUUUGCCGUGUGGCAGAGCCGUAGCUAACGCGUUAAACACUCCGCCUGGGGACUACGGUCGCAAGACUAAAACUCAAAGGAAUUGGCGGUAGCUCAAACAAGCGGCGGAACAUGCCGUUUAAUUCGAAACAACGCGCAAAACCUUACCAACCCUUGACAUGAAUUCGAGCACUUGCUGUAAUCAAUUCACAGGUGCUGCAUGGCUGUCGUCAGUUCGUGGCGUGAGUCGUUUGGUUAAUUCCUGCAACGAACGAAACCCCUGGUUUGUGUUGCUAAACAAAAAGCUACUCUCAAACGACUGCCUGCGAUAUGCAGGAGGAAGGCGGGGAUCACGUCAAGUCGUCAUGGCCCUGAUGGGUUGGGCUACUCGGUGUGUUACAAUGGUGUCCACAAAGGGAUGCGAUAGCGCAAGCUGGAGCGAAACCUAAAAAGUCAUCAUCGUUCGGAUUGUUCUCUGCAACUCGAAAACAUGAAGUCGGAGUCGCUAGUAAUCGCGGAUCAGCACGCCGCGGUGAAUAUGUCACUGAGCUGUGUACUCAUCGCUCGUCACGUUCGAAAAGUUGUAUGCGGU
Molecule: non-coding RNA, 1150 nt
Organism: Bryopsis sp. KO-2023
Lineage: Eukaryota; Viridiplantae; Chlorophyta; Ulvophyceae; Bryopsidales; Bryopsidaceae
Source: the annotation of a GenBank genome assembly